GAUGAACGCUGGCGGCGUGCCUAAUACAUGCAAGUCGAGCGAACGGACGAGAAGCUUGCUUCUCUGAUGUUAGCGGCGGACGGGUGAGUAACACGUGGAUAACCUACCUAUAAGACUGGGAUAACUUCGGGAAACCGGAGCUAAUACCGGAUAAUAUUUUGAACCGCAUGGUUCAAAAGUGAAAGGCGGUCUUGCUGUCACUUAUAGAUGGAUCCGCGCUGCAUUAGCUAGUUGGUAAGGUAACGGCUUACCAAGGCAACGAUGCAUAGCCGACCUGAGAGGGUGAUCGGCCACACUGGAACUGAGACGCGGUCCAGACUCCUACGGGAGGCAGCAGUAGGGAAUCUUCCGCAAUGGGCGAAAGCCUGACGGAGCAACGCCGCGUGAGUGAUGAAGGUCUUCGGAUCGUAAAACUCUGUUAUUAGGGAAGAACAUAUGUGUAAGUAACUGUGCACAUCUUGACGGUACCUAAUCAGAAAGCCACGGCUAACUACGUG
RNAcentral lists this ribosomal RNA (497 nucleotides) under uncultured bacterium. RNAcentral describes it as "partial 16S ribosomal RNA". It matches the Rfam family "Bacterial small subunit ribosomal RNA", at positions 28 to 507 of the family's 1533-position model. The record is from RNAcentral.